RNAcentral lists this ribosomal RNA (328 nucleotides) under uncultured eukaryote. Its description in RNAcentral is "partial 18S ribosomal RNA". It matches the Rfam family "Eukaryotic small subunit ribosomal RNA", at positions 1470 to 1796 of the family's 1831-position model. The record is from RNAcentral.
CCCUUAGAUGUCCGGGGCUGCACGCGCGCUACACUGAAGGAAUCAGCGUGCUAAAACCAUUGUCGAAAGGCAUUGGUAAACCCAUUAAAAUCCUACGUGAUUGGGAUCGGGAAUUGCAAUUAUUCCCCUUGAACGAGGAAUUCCCAGUAAGUGUGGGUCAUAAGCUCGCGUUGAUUACGUCCCUGCCCUUUGUACACACCGCCCGUCGCUGCCCGGGACUGAGCCGUUUCGAGAAAAGCGGGGACUGCUGCUGUCGGGGCUUUCGGGCCUUGGCUUCGGUGGAAACCGCUUUAAUCGCAGUGGCUUGAACCGGGCAAAANUCGUANCA